UAAAAGAUUUAUCGGUUUGGGGUGGGCUCGCGUCCGAUUAGGUAGUUGGUGAGGUAACGGCCCACCAAGCCGACGAUCGGUAGCCGACCUGAGAGGGUGAUCGGCCACAUUGGGACUGAGACACGGCCCAAACUCCUACGGGAGGCAGCAGUGGGGAAUAUUGGGCAAUGGAGGAAACUCUGACCCAGCAACGCCGCGUGGAGGAAGAAGGUUUUCGGAUCGUAAACUCCUGUCCUUGGAGACGAGUAGAAGACGGUAUCCAAGGAGGAAGCCCCGGCUAACUACGUGCCAGCAGCCGCGGUAAUACGUAGGGGGCAAGCGUUGUCCGGAAUAAUUGGGCGUAAAGGGCGCGUAGGCGGCUCGGUAAGUCUGGAGUGAAAGUCCUGCUUUUAAGGUGGGAAUUGCUUUGGAUACUGUCGGGCUUGAGUGCAGGAGAGGUUAGUGGAAUUCCCAGUGUAGCGGUGAAAUGCGUAGAGAUUGGGAGGAACACCAGUGGCGAAGGCGACUAACUGGACUGUAACUGACGCUGAGGCGCGAAAGUGUGGGGAGCAAACAGGAUUAGAUACCCUGGUAGUCCACACUGUAAACGAUGAAUACUAGGUGUAGGGGGUAUCGACCCCUUCUG
Molecule: ribosomal RNA, 625 nt
Filed under: uncultured bacterium
Lineage: Bacteria
Description: bacterial SSU rRNA
Rfam family: Bacterial small subunit ribosomal RNA
Source: RNAcentral